This is a long non-coding RNA of Chiloscyllium plagiosum (whitespotted bambooshark), 311 nucleotides long. RefSeq lists it as uncharacterized. The record is from RefSeq and is a predicted model, not a curated record. Lineage: Eukaryota; Metazoa; Chordata; Chondrichthyes; Orectolobiformes; Hemiscylliidae.
UCUGGGACUAGACAUCUGAAGAUUGAACACCUGCAUUGGGAGAUACACUCCUUGGAUCAGGCAUUCAUUUUGGAUCUUAACAUGAGCACAACAUGAAGCUUCCCCACGUGUGCCUGAAAUCUGUUUCUGUCUUCAAGAUUUUGUAUUCACCUCGCCAGUGUUUAAUCUUUUUUCAUCUAUCUAGGGUACCACCAUGACACUAUUUAGAAUGUUCAGCCCCUUGUUUAUCUCAGAAGUUGUGCUGACUUUCAACUAUUCUAUUAAAGUGUUGCACUUAUCUGUUUAAAUAAUAAAACACAUGUAUGGAAUAA